AGCUCCAAAAGCGUAUAUUAAAGUUGUUGCAGUUAAAAAGCUCGUAGUUGGAUUUCUGGUCUGAUGCCUGGCCGCACCUAUUUCGGUGUGAGUGCCGGCUGCGCGUCUGCCAUCCUUCUAGAAAACGUUCCUACCUUCGCUGGGCCGGGUUCGGGAUCUAGAUCUUUUACUUUGAAAAAUUAGAGUGUUUAAAGCAGGCU
RNAcentral lists this ribosomal RNA (200 nucleotides) under uncultured eukaryote. RNAcentral's name for it is "partial 18S ribosomal RNA". It matches the Rfam family "Eukaryotic small subunit ribosomal RNA", at positions 587 to 786 of the family's 1831-position model. The record is from RNAcentral.